UGCUUUGCAUAGUGGCCGUAUCGUAGCCAAUGAGUUUUAUCUGAGGCGGGAUUAUUGCCAAUUGAAAACUUUUCCCACUGAUG
This 83-nucleotide small nuclear RNA is filed under the name Octodon degus (degu). RNAcentral describes it as "U4 spliceosomal RNA (ENSODEG00000025794.1)". It matches the Rfam family "U4 spliceosomal RNA". Rfam says of the family: U4 small nuclear RNA (U4 snRNA) is a component of the major U2-dependent spliceosome. The structure of U4 snRNA from yeast and human has been reported. The record is from RNAcentral. Lineage: Eukaryota; Metazoa; Chordata; Mammalia; Rodentia; Octodontidae.